This 365-nucleotide ribosomal RNA is filed under the name Megaselia sp. 37 SH-2017. RNAcentral describes it as "partial 16S ribosomal RNA". The record is from RNAcentral. Lineage: Eukaryota; Metazoa; Arthropoda; Insecta; Diptera; Phoridae.
GUCUAACCUGCCCACUGAAUUAAUUUAAAUGGCCGCAGUAUUUUAACUGUGCAAAGGUCUUUUAAUUGAAGGCUGGAAUGAAUGGUUGAAUGAAAUGUUAACUGUUUCAUAAAAAUUUUCAAUAAAAUUUUAUUUUUUUAGUCAAAAAGCUAAAAUAAUAUUAAAAGACGAGAAGACCAUAUAAAUCUUUAUAUUUAGGUGAUUUUAAUUAUUUAGAUAAAUUAAAUUAUAAUCAUUACAAAUAUUUUAUUGGGGUGAUAUUAAAAUUUAAUAAACUUUUAAUUUUUUAUUUACAUCAAUUAAUGAAUUUAUUGAUCCAUAAAUUAUGAUUAAAAAAUUAAGUUACUUUAGGGAUAACAGCGUAA